This 401-nucleotide ribosomal RNA is filed under the name uncultured Cryptophyta. RNAcentral describes it as "partial small subunit ribosomal RNA". It matches the Rfam family "Eukaryotic small subunit ribosomal RNA", at positions 30 to 432 of the family's 1831-position model. The record is from RNAcentral. Lineage: Eukaryota; Cryptophyceae.
GCUUGUCUCAAAGAUUAAGCCAUGCAUGUCUAAGUGUAAAUACGUCUACACUGUGAAACUGCGAAUGGCUCAUUAAAUCAGUUAUCGUUUAUUUGAUGAUCUCUUGUUACAUGGAUAACCGUAGUAAUUCUAGAGCUAAUACAUGCGUCAAGCCCCGACUUCGGAAGGGGUGUAUUUAUUAGAUUCAAAACCAACCGUGUAAAAGCGUACCUUGGUGAUUCAUAAUAACUUGUCGAACCGCACGCCCUUGAGGCAGCGGUGAUUCAUUCAAAUUUCUGCCCUAUCAGCUUUCGAUGGUAGGAUCGAGGCCUACCAUGGCGUUUACGGGUAACGGAGAAUUAGGGUUCGAUUCCGGAGAGGGAGCCUGAGAGAUGGCUACCACAUCCAAGGAAGGCAGCAGG